UACGGGGGGGGCAAGCGUUGUUCGGAAUUACUGGGCGUAAAGGGCGCGUAGGCGGUGCUCUAAGUUAGAUGUGAAAACUCUGGGCUCAACCCAGAGCCUGCAUCUAAAACUGGAGUGCUAGAGUUCUGGAGGGGGUAGCGGAAUUCCUGGUGUAGCGGUGAAAUGCGUAGAUAUCAGGAGGAACACCGAUGGCGAAGGCAGGUCUCUGGGCAUUAACUGACGCUGAGGAGCGAAAGCAUGGGGAGCGAACAGG
This 253-nucleotide ribosomal RNA is filed under the name uncultured bacterium. RNAcentral describes it as "partial 16S ribosomal RNA". It matches the Rfam family "Bacterial small subunit ribosomal RNA", at positions 524 to 776 of the family's 1533-position model. The record is from RNAcentral.